CCUACGGGUGGCAGCAGUGGGGAAUUUUGGACAAUGGGGGCAACCCUGAUCCAGCCAUGCCGCGUGCGGGAAGAAGGCCUUCGGGUUGUAAACCGCUUUUGUCAGGGAAGAAAUCUUCCGAGCUAAUACCUUGGGAGGAUGACGGUACCUGAAGAAUAAGCACCGGCUAACUACGUGCCAGCAGCCGCGGUAAUACGUAGGGGGCAAACGGUACUCGGAGUGACUGGGCGUGGUGCGUGCACAGGCGUUUGAAAUCCCCGGGCUUAACCUGGGAACUGCACUUGUGACUGUACGGCUGGAGUACGGCAGAGGGGGAUGGAAUUCCGCGUGUAGCAGUGAAAUGCGUAGAUAUGCGGAGGAACACCGAUGGCGAAGGCAGUCCCCUGGGCCUGUACUGACGCUCAUGCACGAAAGCGUGGGGAGCAAACAGGAUUAGAUACCCCUGUAGUC
Molecule: ribosomal RNA, 450 nt
Filed under: uncultured bacterium
Lineage: Bacteria
Description: partial 16S ribosomal RNA
Rfam family: Bacterial small subunit ribosomal RNA
Source: RNAcentral